This 345-nucleotide long non-coding RNA is filed under the name Prunus persica (peach). Its description in RNAcentral is "long non-coding RNA (PPER_LNC008789)". Lineage: Eukaryota; Viridiplantae; Streptophyta; Magnoliopsida; Rosales; Rosaceae. The record is from RNAcentral.
UAUACAAUACACCGACCACCCCAUUUCAGAACGAACUUCGUACGAAACUGAAUGGUCCGAUUUCAAGGACCAAUCGAUAUCGGAUUGAGUCCAAAACUUGGGGAACAUCAUAAUAUUAUGGGAGGAGUCAUUUGGUGGGUUUUGAGUGAAAUCCAAUCUCUAGAACUAUACAAUACACCCACCACUCCAUUUCAGAACGAAUUUCGUACGAAACUGAAUUGUCCGAUUUCAAGGACCAAUCGAUAUCGGAUUGAGUCCAAAACUUGGGGAACAUCAUAAUAUUGUGGGAGUUGUCAUUUGAUGGAUUUUGAGGGAAAUCCAAUCCCUAGAACUAUACAAUACACC